CGAAUCCUGCACGACCCACCAAUAUACAAGGUGGUAACUGGUAGAGAACGUGAAGGAUAACGUUGCUUUAGCAACGGCCCGAAGGGCGAGGCGAAGCCGAGUCAUCCUGCACGACCCACCA
Molecule: small RNA, 121 nt
Filed under: Salmonella enterica
Lineage: Bacteria; Pseudomonadati; Pseudomonadota; Gammaproteobacteria; Enterobacterales; Enterobacteriaceae
Also listed under: 1 other name
Description: partial RtT sRNA
Rfam family: RtT RNA
About the family: This family represents a bacterial cis-regulatory element known as RtT RNA.
Source: RNAcentral